Molecule: long non-coding RNA, 2929 nt
Filed under: Eptatretus burgeri (inshore hagfish)
Lineage: Eukaryota; Metazoa; Chordata; Myxini; Myxiniformes; Myxinidae
Description: lncRNA (ENSEBUG00000017253.1)
Source: RNAcentral
CAAAGACCUGCAGCCAUAUCUAUUUAUUAUUUACACAAUCACGUAACCACAAUUCUACUUAGCGGACAUGGCGCCACAACUUUCAUACAAAGAAAAUCCUAGGAAAGGAAAGGGCAGAACAGGACCCAUUUGCCUUUAAUGUUCGCCAAGCUGGGGAGACCGAAGGAGCUCCAUGUUACCGUGCUGGUUACCUGCCACCCUCGUGUUCACUCGCUGGGCGACCCUCGAAGUUCCGUCAACAUGGCAGUUGGUGUAACCGCGACUCGGUUGGCCCAGGCCCCGCUGUACGGCCUGGUGGAUUGGGCCGAGCCGACGACGCCUCAGAAGAACGAACGGGCCUUUGCUCUUUUAAGAGUUGAUGCUCUUUUACGAGCCCGCCCGUUCCUCAGUGUUUGCUCGGACCGUUCUGUCGCUGGCUGGUGACUUCUCUCCGGCUGUCUCCACCGACCCAGAGUUCGGCACGGUACUGCAGACUUGGCUGCGCUCCAGGCUCCGCUGCACUCCGACGACCCUGACUGCCCUCCACUGGACUCGAACCUUGGUGCUCUCCACCCCGACUCCAGCUCGACUCCAGAAAGACUGCUCUCUUGGCGUUCCAGCGCGCCUUUUUAUGGGGUCCGGGGGUGAGUUUGAUCUUCCGCCUUCAACCUUUCACCCCCCGCUGGCUCCGCCCGUUUUGUCAUUUUGAUCCGCUCUCGUUGUGAAACGCGAACGUGCACGGGCGUUGUAGGAAUCAUCCUUAACACGCGGACGUUAUGGAAAUCAUCGGCUCCUGCCCCAAUGAGGGAGUCCCCGCGUCUGUCGCGGAGAUGCUGUUCUUUGGGAUUCGCAGUGGCUGGCGAAAAGAUGACGGCGCAAUGGAGAUGAAGAUUGUCUGAUGGCGAAUGAAAGUGCUGACCCAUAAUCAGCAAGGGACAACUAAAGAUUGAAGAAACAUCCACGACAGCACAAUCCCACAAUGCCUUCAUACACCUUCAGUUGCAUGUGGUUUAUUAUACUUCUCACUUUGAACUGUCACAUGGUUUCUACCAUUCUUCAAAUCCCUGAUGAUGCACAAGGCCAUCAGACAAGCCAAGGACACACCUGUAUAACGACAGCUGCCGGAAUGCUCUGUCCAAUGAGAACACCCCAUGGGAGCUUCACUGUGUCCAAUGGGAUUAUAAUAGUGUGGACAGUGAGCUCGCUGAGUUCAUGUUGUGGGGUCUGUGGUGAGCCUUCGCGGUCUGUAGUGGUGAGUGUGACAGUGAACGUGGCAGUGAACGUGGCAGCGGUGUCUAGCUUUUGGUGUCUGCGCUCGUGUCCUUGGUGCCUGCUGCCAGUCCCCAUCCCUUCAUCUGUGGGGCUGCUGCUGCUGCAGUGCUGGAGAGAGGCCAUGAGCCGAGGUCCAAUGCGAACCGCCGCACACCAAGGUGAGCACCAAGGUGAAAACAACCUCGUGGGACAAGGACCCACACCACAUGCACGGGCAGUGCUGUGCAGAUAGGUUUCUUUGUUUCGUCAGAACCAUGCUGAGUCUCACGUUCCUCCCCCUGAUGAAAAAGAAAAGGCAUCUUUGCUAAGCCAUCGUUGUUUUGGGGUGAGUUGUCUCAUUUAUUUAUUUAAUUGCAUUGCCGCUGCGUGUCUGUGCUUUCGCCCCUUUUCCCCAUUUUCUCUGUUAAUAAUCCCCACUUUUGUUGAAAACCCAUGUGGUCAUUGGAAGUGGGCUCCAUUGCACUUAGCAAAAUUGGCUGAUGAUCCUGUUCGAUGGACAGGUUGAGGUCCUCACUUAAACACCUUGAUGCAGGACAUCUAUAAGCUUUGCUCAACUAUCCCUGUCACUUAUUCCACCACGAUCAUUGCGUUUAGAGAUGCCAAAUCACGCAAAAUUAUCCAAGCAGAUGCGGAGACCUUUUCCUCCCAUACCAGUUUGGCGGCAUGGCUGUCGUCGAAGACCGGAAGGCAACAUAUAUUCCCUCUCUUUUGACACCUGUCUCUCACUCAUAAAUAGCAUUCAUAUCAUGUAUCCAAUGGUAUCUCCCGUUGUCAUUGUAAUCUGCUUCUCGUGUUUAUACGAGAAAUAGUUGAAUACUCAAAAUUUUUCUUUUUUUGUAACUAAGUAAAUUAUGUGAAACUGCGAAGGCCAUAUGACAUUUGUCAUAUGAAUUUCACUGCAGAAAAGGAUUUUUGGUUCUCACCUUCAUCAUCCACUCUUAAAGACCAAAAAAUUGUAAGUACAGUACUUCCUUUGAAAUCCUACCAUGGAGUCCAGCAGUGAAGCACAAUCGCUCAAGGAGCAAUUUUAAGGUAUAAUCCCAAGAUUGAUAAAUGCUUUCAAGGUGACUGUUUCUUUGUUGAUUUUUUAAUAAGUAUACGGAUUGGUUCCCGAUCACAAUCUCAAUCCCCACAAGGAAGCAGGCCUCCCCACAGCCCUCUUUGGCUUGUAAAUGGAUUUUUCACUUGAUGCAUUAUUCUCCGGGAUGGUGAAGCUGCGACAACACAGCGGGCGAUCACUUUUCGUGUUUUGCAAGGUUAAUGCAGUUACAGAGGUGGCCUGGCAUGUGGGGAAGCUUACCCAACACCCAGACGAUGGCUUGCACAGCUUCAGAGUUCACGAAAAAAAAAACACGAGCUGCCGAAUCAGUGCAACCACUCUGGCAUGAAAGCACCACUAUAUUUCUUGUUACUCUGCUAUUCAGCAAAAGUAAUACUUUAGCAUUGGAAAGAUAAUGUAUUUAUUCACCACACUGGCAAAACUGACAUGAAUGCUGGUACAUGAAAUGGAUAAAAUGUUUGGCAUUUUAAUCUGAGGAUAUAUGAAGGGCAUUCAAAAAGUUGUAUUAAUGAGAGACUCAUGAUGGACCUAAAACAUGCCAACACAUUUUUCUCAAUAUACAAGUGGGGUAUAAUUAGUAGGUAUGUGUGUGUGUGUGUGUGUGUGUGUGUGUGUGUG